This 180-nucleotide non-coding RNA is filed under the name Bacillus suaedaesalsae. RNAcentral describes it as "6S RNA". It matches the Rfam family "6S / SsrS RNA". Rfam says of the family: E. coli 6S RNA was the first non coding RNA to be sequenced, but its function was unknown until recently. It consists of 184 nucleotides that fold into an extended hairpin structure with a large single-stranded internal bulge. The record is from RNAcentral. Lineage: Bacteria; Bacillati; Bacillota; Bacilli; Caryophanales; Bacillaceae.
AAAGUCCUGAUGUGUUCGUCUUAUAACCUAUUGUUUUGACCGAACAAUAUGUUAUCCGGGAGCCCGGAGUUUCUUAACCGCGUAAAUGCCUAUUACUGGACUUACAUACGUUAGAACAGGGCACCCACCUGCUUAGGUGCGGGUUCAAAACGAAGGCCGGGCGGCACAAUCGGGACUUCU